RNAcentral lists this ribosomal RNA (511 nucleotides) under Salmonella enterica. RNAcentral describes it as "partial 23S ribosomal RNA". It matches the Rfam family "Bacterial large subunit ribosomal RNA", at positions 2292 to 2802 of the family's 2925-position model. Lineage: Bacteria; Pseudomonadati; Pseudomonadota; Gammaproteobacteria; Enterobacterales; Enterobacteriaceae. RNAcentral also lists the same sequence under 4 other names. The record is from RNAcentral.
AAAGAGUAACGGAGGAGCACGAAGGUUGGCUAAUCCUGGUCGGACAUCAGGAGGUUAGUGCAAUGGCAUAAGCCAGCUUGACUGCGAGCGUGACGGCGCGAGCAGGUGCGAAAGCAGGUCAUAGUGAUCCGGUGGUUCUGAAUGGAAGGGCCAUCGCUCAACGGAUAAAAGGUACUCCGGGGAUAACAGGCUGAUACCGCCCAAGAGUUCAUAUCGACGGCGGUGUUUGGCACCUCGAUGUCGGCUCAUCACAUCCUGGGGCUGAAGUAGGUCCCAAGGGUAUGGCUGUUCGCCAUUUAAAGUGGUACGCGAGCUGGGUUUAGAACGUCGUGAGACAGUUCGGUCCCUAUCUGCCGUGGGCGCUGGAGAACUGAGGGGGGCUGCUCCUAGUACGAGAGGACCGGAGUGGACGCAUCACUGGUGUUCGGGUUGUCAUGCCAAUGGCACUGCCCGGUAGCUAAAUGCGGAAGAGAUAAGUGCUGAAAGCAUCUAAGCACGAAACUUGCCCCGA